This 446-nucleotide ribosomal RNA is filed under the name uncultured bacterium. Its description in RNAcentral is "bacterial SSU rRNA". It matches the Rfam family "Bacterial small subunit ribosomal RNA", at positions 330 to 792 of the family's 1533-position model. The record is from RNAcentral.
UCCAGACUCCUACGGGAGGCAGCAGUGGGGGAUAUUGCACAAUGGGGGGAACCCUGAUGCAGCGACGCCGCGUGGGUGAAGGAGCGUUUCGGCGCGUAAAGCCCUAUCGGCAGGGAAGAAGGAGGACGGUACCUGACUAAGAAGCCCCGGCUAACUACGUGCCAGCAGCCGCGGUAAUAAGUAGGGGGCAAGCGUUAUCCGGAUUUACUGGGUGUAAAGGGGGCGCAGACGGCAGCGCAAGCCAGGAGUGAAAGCCCGGGGCCCAACCCCGGGACUGCUCUUGGAACUGCGCGGCUGGAGUGCAGGAGGGGCAGGCGGAAUUCCUGGUGUAGCGGUGAAAUGCGUAGAUAUCAGGAGGAACACCGGUGGCGAAGGCGGCCUGCUGGACUGCGACUGACGUUGAGGCCCGAAAGCGUGGGGAGCAAACAGGAUUAGAUACCCGGGUA